This 488-nucleotide ribosomal RNA is filed under the name uncultured Friedmanniella sp. Its description in RNAcentral is "partial 16S ribosomal RNA". Lineage: Bacteria; Bacillati; Actinomycetota; Actinomycetes; Propionibacteriales; Nocardioidaceae. The record is from RNAcentral.
CACGUAGUUAGCCGGUCCUUCUUCUGUAGGUACCGUCACGUUAGCUUCGUCCCUACUGAAAGCGGUUUACAACCCGAAGGCCGUCAUCCCGCACGCGGCGUUGCUGCAUCGGGCUUGCGCCCAUUGUGCAAUAUUCCCCACUGCUGCCUCCCGUAGGAGUCUGGGCCGUAUCUCAGUCCCAGUGUGGCCGGUCGCCCUCUCAGGCCGGCUACCCGUCGAAGCCUUGGUGAGCCAUUACCUCACCAACAAGCUGAUAGGCCGCGAGCCCAUCCCUGACCGCCGGAGCUUUCCACCUCAAAGCAUGCGCAAAGAGGUCAUAUCCGGUAUUAGCAGCUGUUUCCAGCUGGUAUCCCAAAGUCAAGGGCAGGUUGCUCACGUGUUACUCACCCGUUCGCCACUCGUGUACUCCCGAAGGACGCCUUUACCGUUCGACUUUGCAUGUGUUAAGCACGCCGCCAGCGUUCGUCCUGACGCAGGAUCAAAACUCU